UUUUUUUUUUUUUUAAUUUUGUAUAUGAUGCUUCAUAAUGAAUAUUUGACUUGUACUUCUUAGCUAAGCUUUGCUUGUACUUUCACUGAAAUUCACUUUACCUUCAUAACCCAACAGAAACUUUUUAAUAAUAAGUAGAUCCAUCAGACAAAUAAUAUCAUCAAUGAGCUGUUUCUCUAUAUGAAAACAGGUAUGGAAAUACCUUAUAGGCUUUGAACAAAUUCUAUCAAUUUAAUCAACUCACAGUAACUCCUGUUUUUUACGUGACCAAGCACAGACCCUCUUUACCUUGCACUAAAAUGUUUAGUUAAUGAUAUAUGGGACUGUCAAGAUUCGAAAUUUGGAUGGUCAGAGAGGCUCUGAUACCAUAUCAAGAAACCAUUCAACCUAAAGGCUUUAAGCUUAUAGGUGAGAGCCUCAAGAAUAGUUAUAUAUUUCUAACGAUCUCCUAGUAAGUGUACAAACAUUAGUUGAGCAGUCUGGGUUAUUCACACCAAAAUCAUUAAAAAAAACUAGAAACUAAAAAAAAACUUAUAUUUUUAUGCUCAUUCACACUACUUUUGAUAAAUAAAGAACUUUAGUUUUACAAAUUAUGAAUGUAUUUAUCAUAAAUUAAAAUUAAAAAAUUCCAUGUAAAGAGUUGCUAACUUAAAUUUUAUUGCAUUUUGCCCUUGGUUUCAAAGAAUUUAAAAGUACUACCUUUGAAAGAAUUUAGGAAUCAAAAUGAAAUUUGAAAAUGCUUGACAUUGAUCAAGCAUAUGAACCUUUUCUGGAAGGGGGAACCAACGUUUUGCACAGGCCAUAGAAUUUCUAAUACUAGCCUUACCAUCUACUGAAUGGUAUAUAUCCUCUAAGAAUCAAAAUUAACAUAUGCCUAUCUUUUUCAGUAAUUGGCAACUUACAAGGAGCAGAAACAAGGAAUACCUUAUCUUUUAC
Molecule: unclassified non-coding RNA, 936 nt
Filed under: Hevea brasiliensis (rubber tree)
Lineage: Eukaryota; Viridiplantae; Streptophyta; Magnoliopsida; Malpighiales; Euphorbiaceae
Source: RNAcentral